Molecule: unclassified non-coding RNA, 324 nt
Filed under: soil metagenome
Description: partial contains 5.8S ribosomal RNA, internal transcribed spacer 2, and large subunit ribosomal RNA
Rfam family: 5.8S ribosomal RNA (bases 1-120)
Source: RNAcentral
GAUGAAGAACGUAGUGAAAUGCGAUAAGUAAUACGAAUUGCAGAAUUCAGUGAGUCAUCGAAUCUUUGAACGCACAUUGCGCCCUGUGGUAUUCCGCAGGGCAUGCCUGUUCGAGCGUCAUUUCAACCCUCAAGCCUCGCUUGGUGUUGGGCCCUGCCCGCCGCGGCCGGCCCUAAAGAUAGUGGCGGCGCCGCCUGGCCCUCAGCGUAGUACAGCUCUCGCUCCAGGGUCCGGCGGCAGCCUGCCAGAACCCCCCAACUCUGUGGUUGACCUCGGAUCAGGUAGGGAUACCCGCUGAACUUAAGCAUAUCAAUAAGCGGAGGA